RNAcentral lists this ribosomal RNA (460 nucleotides) under uncultured bacterium. Its description in RNAcentral is "partial 16S ribosomal RNA". It matches the Rfam family "Bacterial small subunit ribosomal RNA", at positions 338 to 795 of the family's 1533-position model. The record is from RNAcentral.
CCUACGGGUGGCAGCAGUGAGGAAUAUUGGUCAAUGGACGAGAGUCUGAACCAGCCAAGUAGCGUGAAGGAUGACUGCCCUAUGGGUUGUAAACUUCUUUUAUAUGGGAAUAAAACGUUCCACGUGUGGGAUUUUGUAUGUACCAUAUGAAUAAGGAUCGGCUAACUCCGUCCCAGCAGCCGCGGUAAUACGGAGGAUCCGAGCGUUAUCCGGAUUUAUUGGGUUUAAAGGGAGCGUAGGUGGAUUGUUAAGUCAGUUGUGAAAGUUUGCGGCUCAACCGUAAAAUUGCAGUUGAAACUGGCAGUCUUGAGUACAGUAGAGGUGGGCGGAAUUCGUGGUGUAGCGGUGAAAUGCUUAGAUAUCACGAAGAACUCCGAUUGCGAAGGCAGUUCACUGGACUGCAACUGACACUGAGGCUCGAAAGUGUGGGUAUCAAACAGGAUUAGAGACCCCAGUAGUC